RNAcentral lists this ribosomal RNA (200 nucleotides) under uncultured bacterium. Its description in RNAcentral is "partial 16S ribosomal RNA". It matches the Rfam family "Bacterial small subunit ribosomal RNA", at positions 30 to 231 of the family's 1533-position model. The record is from RNAcentral.
AUUGAACGCUGGCGGCAUGCCUUACACAUGCAAGUCGAACGGCAGCACGGGAGCAAUCCUGGUGGCGAGUGGCGAACGGGUGAGUAAUACAUCGGAACGUGCCCAGUAGUGGGGGAUAGCCCGGCGAAAGCCGGAUUAAUACCGCAUACGACCUACGGGUGAAAGCGGGGAUCGCAAGACCUCGCGCUAUCGGAGCGGCC